Polypterus senegalus (gray bichir) is the source of this 2034-nucleotide RNA transcript. It is a transcript of the gene named secernin 2, with no coding region annotated. The transcript is spliced from 9 exons. The record is from RefSeq and is a predicted model, not a curated record. Lineage: Eukaryota; Metazoa; Chordata; Cladistia; Polypteriformes; Polypteridae.
UACUGAAACCCAGGGAUGCUGCCAUCUAUGGUAUGGAGUCCUCCCCGACUGUUCCAUGAUGUUGUCCUUCUGGUGAAUCUCAUGGUAAAGAGAGGAAGUCUGGUACCUUUUCUUUCUCCUGGCCUUCCAGUCAGGAUGAGCACUGAUAUUGAACCCUCUUCCUGUGAUUGCUUUGUGGCCCUCCCGCCAGGAUCGGCAGGCGACUACGUUAUUUUUGGGAAGAAUUCGGAUCGGCCGGAGGAUGAAGUUCAGGAGGUUGUUUAUUUUCCAGCUGCCUCUUAUGAGCCGGGGUCGACAGUCGAGUGCACCUACAUUGAAAUUGAGCAGGCUGAGACAACACAUGCAGUGAUCCUGAGUCGACCUUCCUGGCUUUGGGGGGCCGAGAUGGGAGCCAACGAACAUGGCGUCUGUAUUGGGAAUGAAGCUGUCUGGACAAAAGUGCCUGUGAUGGAUGAGGAAGCCCUGCUUGGCAUGGAUCUGGUCAGGCUGGCUCUGGAGCGUGGAAGCUCUGCCAAGGAGGCUUUGGAUGUUAUUGUCAACCUCUUGCAAUGCUAUGGUCAAGGGGGCAAUUGCCGGGAAGUGAUGACCCCAUUCAGCUAUCACAACACUUUUCUGCUAGUGGACCGUCGGGAGGCCUGGGUACUAGAGACUGCUGGACAUUUGUGGGCUGCACAGAAAAUUAAUGAUGGUGUGAAGAACAUCUCGAACCAGCUGACAAUCGGGACAGAGAUUACCACUGAACACCCUGAGCUUCGGAGCUUCGCACAAAGCCAUGGCUGGUGGGAUGGGGAGACAGAAUUCAGCUUCUCUCAGGUGUAUUCGCUGGAGAACCCACCAGCCAGGAUGGAGGCAGCCAAGAGACGCUACCAUGGAGGCCAGGAGUUGCUCAACAUACACUGUGGCUCCAUGACAUUGAAGACCAUGAUGGAGAUAUUGCGGGAUGAAGCUAGUGGAAUCUGCAUGGAUUCAGGUGGAUUUCGCACCACUGGCAGCAUGGUGUCCAUUCUGCCUCAGGACUCCUCUCUACCUUGUGUGCACUUCUUCACUGCUACCCCAAAUCCAUCCUGUUCUGUGUUUAAACCGUUUAUCUUUACGGAUUCACCAACUCCAGUCCUGCAAACCAUCUCUCCAAAGUAUGGAGCACAUGACCCAGUGAAGAAAAAGCCACGGUUCCAGAAUAGUGUGGACAGGCGUCAUGAGCUUUACCUAGCACAUCAGGCAGCGUUCAAAGGCUCAGAGCAUCGCCAGAUUUUGCUCCGCACCUUGCAGCAGCUGGAGGAGCAGUGCUUGGAGGACAUCAUGCAGAUGCUGGCAAAGGGUGUCGCCCCCGAGGGAGAGGAGGUGGCUGACCUUUUCUUUGAUUGUGUGGACACAGAGAUCAAGUUCUAUCAGUUAUACCAGUAGAAGCCAGUAGGUAACCCCGACACCAAUCUCUCCCUGAAUGUGAAGUCUUUGAAGUGGCAUUAUGUAGGACAAAAGAGCCAACGUCUAUGGGCGUUCUGAAUUCGGAAGUCUAGGUAUGAACCAGGCCUGGAUAUGGCGCUAGGUAAUCACAAAGCACACUUGAUAUACCCACCCUUACGUUCACGCACAACGGAGUCUCCAGUCAAUGGUAGCAUGUGCUUGAGCAUUGGCAAGAAGCCUAUGAGAACAUGUGAAGAAGCCUAUGGGGACACAAGUAAAGUCCACAAAGAAGACACUCCAGAUGGGAAUCGAACUGGACUGAAGUGAUCGCCCAUACCUGUGAACUUCCACAUAGUGAACAAAACAUCUUCUUUCGAUUUUUAAAAAUGUUUCUGAUAUGUUAUGGUUUUUGGAAUUAGGAACUUUUUCUGGUUAAAAACAAUAUUUGAUAUAAUGUCAAAUUCAUAAAAAUCUUAACUCUUAUAAAAAGAUGUUUGUGUGAUUACAUCUGCAGGCAUAGAAGGUCUCUUUACAUAAUGGCAAAAAGGAUAUUUUCUGUGUGUGCUCCAUCUGCAAGUGAUUUAAUAAAAGAAUAUAUUGAAAAAUAAAUAUAAUGGAUGUGAAAAGAUU